Long non-coding RNA from Dromaius novaehollandiae (emu), 8420 nucleotides. RefSeq lists it as uncharacterized. The record is from RefSeq and is a predicted model, not a curated record. The transcript is spliced from 2 exons. NCBI's taxonomy places the organism in Eukaryota, Metazoa, Chordata, Aves, Casuariiformes, Dromaiidae.
GGAUGGUCCCUGGUGUGUGCUUUCCCCGUGGAGUCGGACAGGGAGCUUGGUGGCUACACGGCAACUCGGUGACAACGUCUCCUUCCUCUGCCCAGCCAGUGUGAAGAAAUCAGUUCUGGUUCUGGAUCUGUGGCUAGCUUUGUCUGGGGGAACAAGAAAAGUGUAGUCUUCGUGUGGAGACUUGUCAGUUAUGACCUCUCUUCAAGCACCAAGCCCAUUUCACAUCCUGCAACUCCUCUGUUCCGGGGAACUCGCCCUCCUGCCCCAGGCUGACGUAGCUGCCGCCCAUACGCAGCACACAGCAGCGCCCGGACAUCAGCGAGGAGAGUGCUGCGGGACGUGCCGGGACGUCAGCAAGGAGAGUGCUGCGGGACGUGUUUGCUUGUUUUUGACGUUGCCAGGUAAUGGAGCAACUCUGGCCAACGAGCGCGUGCUGUGAUGAAGCUGGCUGCACCUUGAAACCCUGCCUUUGCACAGAGCUCCCGGGGAGGGGUUUCCACGCAAGCAGCGGUAACUCUUUGUCCCAGUUACUUGCUUUGCUGUGCCAGAACUUAUGUGAAAUGUCAUCGUUGUUUACUGUAUUUUUCUGAGCGCACAAAAGUGAAAGGCUUGGUGUUUUCCAGCAGUUACCUACUUUAACCUGCCCUCUUUCCUCUGCUGUGUUCAUCUGCCCUUUCUCCUCAUCUGCUGCCAUGGAGUUCUGCUCCCCAUCGCAGAUGCACAGGUCAGACUGGAGUCAAUCCCCUCUUCGGAAAGAAGAUCCUGGAGCUCUGUAGGCACUGGUGGUUGGAGAGCUCUUCGUACCUCUGCUUCUUCCUCCCUGUUGGCAGUGCCAGUGACCACCACCUAUUACAGGGUAUCAUGACCUCAGCCCUGGGUCAUGAGGCUUGGAAAUCCUGCAUCGUGUCUAGUAAACCUGAUAGUCUGACCUGGGGAUUUGAGGCCGGGCGACAGCAGGACUGCAGUGAUUGGGGAACAGUUACAGAAGAGAGAUCUGCAUGACAUGGAGUCUGGCAGAUGUCUGUGGUGCUGCUUUGAAGUCUCUGUCCAGAUGUGUCUGCUGGGCAGCAGCACAGUUUCCAGCUGCAAUGAAAAUAUGUCUAAAGAAACCAUGAAGAGGACCGGAGCAGUUUGGUAGUGAUUCUGGAUGCUCAGCUGGCUCUUUCUCCAGAGGCAGCCAUGCAGGGGGGUGAAUUCCUACGUGUAACUGCAGUGCUUUUUCCAGCCCUGUGCCACAGGCGGGCGUAGCCGUCUGACCUCCCAGGGAGAGGGCACUUCUAGUGCCCAGCGAGAGGCUGCACAGCACUCCCGUGCCUGACCUUCCCAUGGCCUCUUGCAGGGCACGGGGCCCUGUGACGGGGCUCUCGGGGUGUCCUUGCCCCGCGAAGGCACCUUGCAGCCUGGCGGGGCUGCAGAGGCUGCGGUGUGGCCCUCCGGCCAGGCAAGGGGGAGGCCCAGCUCUGGAUCUGCGGUAGGCAGGAACGCAGCAUGUCCAGUAAGUGAGACUUCACGCAGAGUCCUGGACCCAGCCUCACCAUCACUCUGUGGCUUCCCCUGUUAACUCACCCUACUCACUGCCCAGGCCUGCAGAGGGGCUCUGUCCUGCGGUGAGUGCUUCUGAAGUGGGUGAAGGCCGCUAUAUAGGUAGUGAGCCCUGUUCCUGGGGCUCGGGGCAGCUUGAAAGGGGAAGCUGGAUGGAGAUCCUGUCCUAGUCUCAUAAGAAACACCAGUGCCUCAUGUAGGCUGCUGAGCCUCGACCUGAACGAGGGGGCUGACAGCAGCUUGCCAAGAAUGCACUUCCUUCAUCCCUGUCGGCUCUGGAAGGCUUUCGUGGAGAUGUACACCCAGGAUAAACAAGUGAGAUCAGAAAGCCCCUAAGCAAGAGCUGUGCUCAGGCGAGUAGAGUUUUGCAAGGCCCACGCUAAUCCUAGUCUGCAAAGCGCAGGCCAAACACUCCCCUGUGUUUACGGGAGUGAAGUCCCUUCCCCUCGGUCCCUGCCCCUUCGAGGGUGCUGGUGGCAGCUGGGCUGCGCAGCGCCGAGCACUCCUCCUCCCGCCUGCCUGCCGGGGGGCCAAGCUCGCUGCUGCCGGGGACGUCUGCCGCUACGUAGCUGCGUUCUGGCAGCACGAGGCAGUGGAGCCUGAAUGUUAUUCUUAACCCUUAGGUCAAGCAAGGUAGCAGUGACAUAAUGGAAGAACUUUGUUCCGCGCACUCCGUCACCGCAGCCGCGAAGUGCGGUUUAUCUCGGCUGCCCUGCUGAGAGCGUACCAAGACUCGUCGCUCCCUCCGUUGCUGUGAAGGGGAAUGGCCCCAGCACUUCUGCUCGCUGGCACAAGCCAUUUCUCCCAGCAAAGUGAAACGUGCUUUCUCCACACAUUGCCAAAGGCGAUCUGGUUAUAUGGUGCUGUCCACCCAGCUGGGAGCCAGACCGGCGUCCUUGCCUCCCGCGCUGCUGCCCGCGCAGGGCUCUGCCUUCGCCCUGCCGCCCCGGUGCCUUCGGCGCGGGCAGAAUGAAGCGCUCCUGGCUGUGCGAGCCGGCGUGCUCGCAGGCCGGGCAAAGCCGCUCGGGGGUAACUUCUCUCUUUCCAUGAGCGUCCGGAGAGCGACGCUGACAAGAGGCUGACUCUGCAAGUGCUUGAUGCAAGAGAUGUUGAUCCUUUAGUAAAUCCUGUCUCCUCGGGUCCCAACAGGAGUCUGCCAAAAGCAAAUAGGCUUGGCAAAUAUCUGAAGGGGCCAUCGUACAGGCUCCUGUGGCCCUCUCUGCCACGUUCCCAAAGUGUAACAGAUGCUCCUGGAAGUGCACCAGCGCUCCAACUCCAUCCCGAGCCUUGUGAGCACGUGAGGAUUUAGGGUUUUAGUUCACAUCUGCUCCCUACUUACUUUUCUGUGUCACUAAGGCUGAGCAAACAAAUUCCACCAAAAGGCAUCGCUGGGUGGUUGUCUGCCUGUCCUUGUGAUGUGUUUACAUACGUGCUAUCUCCGCUUUGUUUGGGCUAGGCAGGACUGCGCAGGUGUGUGCAUUUGAGUUGCUGGGGGUGUAACCGCACUGCAGAGAGAAAGUGCAAGUAUCGCUCUGUGUCAGGCGCCAGGACUCUGGCCUCACUUGAACCCAGCUGCUGAAGCAUGCGAGCGUAGACGCAUGCGAUGUGCUCCAGCAGAUGCUCGGAAAUAAUUCAAGCGCAGAUCAGUGAAUAUCCAUCACACCACCGGAGUCUCCAAGGCGGGUACUCCGGGUUGCUGUUCCCAGCUCUGCAGAAGCAGCUCAGCUGCAGCAGGGCACCAGUUUCUGCAGCUGUUGCGUCUGUUUGACACCCUCCUUCUGCGCAGAGUGGCCAAGAUGAUGUCCUGCCCUUUGAGGACUGAAGUCCUCAUCACAGACAAUUGACCUCCUCCCAUUUGGGCUUGUACACUGUGAGUUCUUGUAUUUGCCGUCGGACUCUGCCUCCUUCAUUUUUUUUUCCCAUUUGCAAUCAUGAGUGCCGAGGAGGUUUCUGUCUCUCUGUCUCUGUCUCUCUCUCUCCCUCUUUUUUUAUUUUAUUUUAUUUAUUUAUUUUAUUCAUUUAAUGCCCAGGCAAAAACCUAAAUUCAGUAGCAAGGAAAAAAAUGCUUAAUUAGGGUGUGGCGAGCAGUUGGAAAAGUAUUAAAAAUUGACUCCAAUCUUGCCCUUUAUGCCAGCUGCAAGCUCUGUAAUUAGCCCUGUAUUCUGAACUGGAGAACAGCAGCCCGUUGUGAUUUACCGGCUAAAUCCGGCGGCACGAGCGAGAGCGGCGUAGCGGCCGCCCGGGGAGACAGUGCCGCCGUUGUCGCUCCUCGGCCGAGGCCUCGGCUCGCGCGCGAGUGCAAGUCGUUAACCUCUGCGGAGGGCAGCUCACCCGCGGGCUCUCCCCCGCGUCCCCCUCCGCGGGACGGGAGCCGGGCGAGCAGAGCGCCGGGCCGGCAGGCCGCGUUGGUUUUUCCGCAGGCUGCUAGAUCGUGUCAGCGCUAUCAGUGAAACCAAGUCUCCUCAUGGCCUCUCGGUCUGCAGGGGAUAAAGGCCUCGUCUCCUAGGCCCGUGUUUUGGGGACGGGGGAACAUCUUGCAUGGAUUUCCGCAGAGCCAAAUGCGAGGUGACCGCGUAUUACUACUUAUAACGGCAAACUAGCCCUGCGCGUCACUCCGGUGCCGUGUGCUGGGCCCCACAGAUGGGCCUCAAACGCCGAGGGAGCCGCGCUGCCCGUGGGGACUGGCCGGCCGCCCCAAGGCUGGGGAGCUGCUGCCACGCGCGUGGCUGGGGCAGCGCCCUGCCGUGCUCCUCCCGCCCUCGCCCUGGAAGAAAGACGGGAAAACUGAAAUAACAGUGGGAAAACGCCGUUAUUUUGAAGGCUGCUGCUUGUCUUGGCUGAUGCUUUAUUCCCUCCAAAGGGGAUGUGACUUGCCAGCCCUCACCGGGCUGCAGCAGUUCGGAGGUCGGCCCAGGUUUGGACCAUCUGGAUUUUUUGCUCAGAUCUGGGACCUUUUGGUAGUUGGUUCAGCUCUGCCCACACACCCACAAGCAGAGGAUUUGCCCACUGGCCUUUCUGCCCUGUGCUGCUCUUCACGAUAAACAACCACCCUUGAUCUCUACCCUGAUAAGACUCCAGGAAGCAACUAGCCCUGGUGUGAUAAAACUGGCCACGCUGGUGCUCCAGCCCCGCGCACGUAGGCAACGCGCUGGAAAUAACAUCUGCCGCUGCUCUGCGCUGCGCUCGGCUCAUGCCAGGCCGUGUCUCUAUUGCUUCUCCUGUCCUAGCAAAAACAAAUGCUAUCUGCUCACAUGUCCGUGGCAAGAGCCCUGCCAGGAACAAAGAGAAGUUCAAAUAUUUGUGUUCACUUGUUGCUUUUUCCAUUCAGACAAUAAGUGACAAGCUUAAGCAAAAUCCGCUUCUGCCAAGUGCGGAAUUUCCAUCGUACCAGCUCCAGCUUCGCAACCUCACCAAGAUGAAACACCUGCAAUUAGCAGCUGGGUUUUAAUCUGGGGGAAUGAAUAAUGAGCAUGACUGAAAUAAGGCCUUAAAAAAAAAAAAAAAAAAAAAAGUCCUCAGAUUUUCUCUGUGUUAAAUGAAGCCUCUGGUCUUUGUGUGCUGUUUCCCGCAGAACUGCGUUUUCACCAUCAAUCCUGGAGCUCUGCCUCCGCUUUCCACCCUAGUGCCUGGGACUGAAGCUGGCUAACAAUUAAUUCAUAAGCGUCACAUCUGCGCUUCUUAGUAUCCGGGAGGCUGCAGUGCUUCAACACGUGGUAAACCCAGAUGCCGCAUAAGUACCCAGGAGUUGAAUCUCUGCCGUUUGAGACAUCCUAAGAAGCCUGCGUGGCUUUGUCUUGUGGACUCUCCUUGCCUCCGUGCAACUUGAUGGUGUUGUUGCUUCAAGAGCAGGACUCGGUAACAGAGGAGUCGAUAGUGGGUGUUUCUGCCCUGGGGACUAGUUUGUACUCUACCUGGGUCACUUCUGUGUUACGUGCUGAUGACACUGGCUGUAAACUAAGUUGGGAACCUUUCCAUUUUUUGGUAGGCUAUGCAACCAUGCGUGGGUUUUUUUGUUUGGGUUUUUUUUGCAAAUUCUUGCAAAAAUGAUGCAAUCUGCGGUAAGGCUUGAUCUCUGACCAGAUGGCAUGUGUCAAUAGCCCAGGCUUGGGGAGCUGCAUGUGUUGUUCUUGUGUGGGGGGGUUUUUUAUUUUCUUUCCCCUCUUUGUGGACUUCAGGCUCUUUCUCUAUAGUACUGUGGAUCCUCUGUUGCACCUGGAGCAUCCCAGCCCUGCCAGCCCUUCCUAGCAUCAGCCUGGACUGGGCAGCUUCCUUUGCUUGACUGAUUGCCUCUGAAACUUAAAGGAAUGACUCUUCAGACUGAAAUAUGUUCUGUAAUUACUUUCUCUUUGUACUAUACUUUGAAAGAUCUCUUUAGUGUUUAAUUUUACACAACAUGUAGUACUCCUCUAACUUCUAUAUUAUAACAUCAAGUUUAAUGAUCUCUGUCUGGGAUAACUGAGAACUUAAAAAUCUCAAGAGCUUCAGUAAAAACUAGUGUCAGAGACAAGGCUUCUUCUGGCCUUUUGAUCAUACUCAUUGCAUGCAAUAGAGAGAAGAAGCACUGUUUAAGCCUGCUCCAGCUGCUCUCCAUUUCCAAAAAGGAUGAGUUUUGGCAGGCUCUUUAAGCUGCCUCCUUCUUAGGCCACUUCUGAGAUCACGUAAGAGCCGAGGAAUCUCCCAGUAGCCUCCUUCGCUAAGUGCUCAGCUCUGUUUUGCUUCUAGGCUCACAGUCUGACACUUGAUAGUCAUGCCUAUCAGAGAUGUAAUAAAAGUAUGUAUUUAAAAGUAGGUAUUCCAGGCACACAGUAAAAAGUGGGUAAACUCUAUGUUGUCCCAAUUAGAAAUGUUGAAAUUCAGUUCAUCUGCGUUCACUCUUAACUGUGCCUGACCCUAACGUCCCCUUCGUGGCACAUUUGAGGAGUGAAGUAGCAGAGUACUAAAUUCUGCAUGAUCUUUAGAUCUUUAGCACUGGCCCGGGGUGAAGGUCAAAGGCACAAGGCUACAGGGAGAUAACUUUGCCAAAUAUCUUUCCUUUUUCUGACAUAAAUACAUGAAACUUAGGCUUAAAACACACCCACUAGACAGGUUGCAUAUAUUAAUGUCUCUAAAAAUGGUUGAUUGAUAACAGCUUUUGCAAUCAGCACAGCCAGUACGGUUAGAAACUUCCUGGAAAACACAUGUACACGGCAAACCCAUUACAAUGAGUUGCAUGAUAAGAGGCAUUACACUUUAAUGAAGUUAGUGCAUAAACAUCAGAGGCCUUGGUUUCUUGGAUAACAGCAAAUAAAAGCAGACGUUAUGUAAAUCAGCAAUAUAAGUCAGUCACUGACUGCGCAGCCAGAAAAUAAGUUUAAUGCUGGCUCUAAUCAUUGCCCACGGUGAACUUAGAACAUCCUCAUUACUCAUGUUCUCCCAAAAUUUGCACCUCUUCUCCCCUGCCAGGGGCAGCCAGGCUGGUAUUUCGGCUACCUGGUAGUCUACCCGCCCGGCGGUUCUUCAGUCGCGCUUGCAGCCUCUGGAGCUCCAGGGAGGAGGCAUUUCAGCUGAGAUAGCCUAACGCUGGUAAGUCUGGUGUUAAAAGCUAAAGAGCUGCCAAGAGCUUUGCUAAAGAAAAGCAAUGAAUGGCCAGCCUAGGGCCAGAAUGUGAUGCGCUAUUUAGCGUGUAUCAGCAGGGAUGCUAAAUAAUUCCCCGCUUCUGCGGCACGUAGUGGUGCCUGUACGCGGCUGGUGCCGUGCUGGUAGCCGGCGAGAGCCGGGAGGUUUCCUGUGUGAUGCAGACGGCACAUGGCUCUCCUGUGUCAUGAGGGAACCGGCUAAAUCAUUAUAGGGAGGACACUUGAUUCAUUAUGUAACAACAGAUCCUCUGUGAUUCAGACAAGAGUAUGCUUACGUUGGUAAUGCGGUAUAAUUUGCUCUGGGGCCUAUUUGCAUGUGGCCUUGCUAACUGAAUCCAACCACAAAGCAGCUCUCUGAUCAGAUGAGGCAGCUUGCUCUGGCACUGGUGGGUCUGUGGGUUGCACCUCAUCCUCAGUUACGGCGCUGACUUUCAGUGGUGGAUGUUGUUUGUGCUUUGAUUGUAUCUAGUGUAUUUUUUGUUUCUGGGUUUUCCUACAUGCAGUUAGGAGAUAUGUGGGGCUGGGUAUCCUAUUUCGACAUAGAGUGACUCUUCUUCUGAAGCUCGCUGUAAGAAAAGUUAAGCAUCACAUUUACAAAGACAUAAUCCUCCCAGCUCUCAUCCAUAUGCAACGACCAGAAUGAGGUAUGUGUGCAUGGGAGAAAAUGAGUGUGCGCCUUGCUACGGCUGUUCCUCCUACUCACGUCUAAUGGCUGGUUCUGUCAGUGCCUUAUGUAACAGUCUAUAACCGUAAAGGUAUCAGCAGAGUUUUUUUAUCAUGGCCUUAAUUUGGUGUCCUGUGACACCUUAACCUGAUGCCACAGUGGUUACACACAUCUUUCGAGUCACAUCUCUUCCUCAGCAUGCUGGCUAGCCUUAAGCAGAUCCUCAGAGUGGCUGAGUCUAGUCUUGAAGCAUAUGACCUGACAAAUAGGAAGUGCCUGUAGUGUAUUUCAUGAAAGAUGCUAUAUUAGUUUAAGAUUGCUGAUAGAAAAAUCUAUUUCUAAAUAUAAAACUCGAGAUCUGAAGGAAGUUAUGCCAAACAAAUCCUAGUUUUACAAACUAUAGAAUAAUGUCAUCAUCAAAAAAAUAAAGCAGCUUUCUUAAAACAAAUAGUUGAAGUGUUCCUGUCUUUCACUUGAAUGUCAUUUAAACUGUAUUCUUUUGCCUGUUUUUCCCCUUAUCCACCAUAUGUAGCUUCUAAAGAAGAAAAUCUCUAUUAACUUGUAAUCAGUAUUGUUGGAAUAAUACAGGAUGUGUUAUU